Molecule: ribosomal RNA, 883 nt
Filed under: Tulasnella sp.
Lineage: Eukaryota; Fungi; Basidiomycota; Agaricomycetes; Cantharellales; Tulasnellaceae
Description: eukaryotic LSU rRNA
Rfam family: Eukaryotic large subunit ribosomal RNA
Source: RNAcentral
AUAUUAAUCAGCGGAGGAAAAGAAACUAACAAGGAUUCCCUUAGUAACUGCGAGUGAACAGGGAUGAGCUCAAUGUGUGAAUCUUACCGUCCUCGUGGGUGGUUGAGAGUUGUGCACUAUGAACGUUGUGUCUGCGCUUGCAGGCCGGUGGCCAAAGUCCGGAAGGAUACGGCACUAGAGAGGGUUAUAGUCCUGUUCUCGCCAUCCGGUCCUGUGCGUCUAUGACCAGCGCUUCUCGAGUCGGAUAGUUUUGUAUUGCUGUCCCAAUGGGAGGUUGAUCCCUUCCAAAGCUAAAUAUUUAUGGCAUGACCGAUAGUAGACAAGUACCGCGAGGGAAAGGUGAAAAAGCAACCAUGAAGAAUGGGUUGAAACAGCAGUGAAAGUGCUACUGGGAUAAGGGCUCAUGGCGGCUGGUGCCGUAGGGGCGUGCUUUAGUGCUGCACCUGUGGACGGCCUGCGGGGAUGGAGACUUGGAGAUGUGGGCCAUGGGGAUGCACCUCCUUCUGGAGGCUUGAACCCGUGGUUCUGCGCGCCAUGCAGCCAUCUUUAUACCUACCUGGUAGUAGCAGGUCUUGUCGCCAUUAGCCGCCCGUCUUGAAACACGGACCAAGGAGUGCACCUUGCAUGCGAGUCUAAGGGAUUGGAAUCCUGGAGGCGUAGCGAAAGCGAAGCUGCGAACGUGUCAAAGCGGGCUGCGGCGCCCCCUGAGAGGGGAGGUUGAGCAUGUAGGGUGCGACCCGAAAGAUGGUGAACUAUGCCCGGGGAAGGUGAAGCCAGUGGAAACGCUGGUGGAGGCCUGUAACGGUUCUGACGUGCAAAUCGAUCGUGUCACCUGGGUAUAGGGGCGAAAGACCUAACGAACCGUCUAAUGGCUGGUUCCCUC